UGGGGUAUAUUGCACAAUGGGCGAAAGCCUGAUGCAGCGACGCCGCGUGGGGGAUGAAGGCUUUCGGGUUGUAAACCUCUUUCGCUAUCGAACAAGGCCCGCUUAGGGUGGGUUGAGGGUAGGUGGAGAAGAAGCGCCGGCUAACUACGUGCCAGCAGCCGCGGUAAUACGUAGGGCGCGAGCGUUGUCCGGAAUUAUUGGGCGUAAAGGGCUUGUAGGCGGCUUGUUGCGCCUGCUGUGAAAACGCGGGGCUUAACUUCGCGCGUGCAGUGGGUACGGGCAGGCGUGAGUGUGGUAGGGGUGACUGGAAUUCCAGGUGUAGCGGUGGAAUGCGCAGAUAUCUGGAGGAACACCGAUGGCGAAGGGAGGUCACUGGGGCAUUACUGACGCUGAGGAGCGAAAGCAUGGGUAGCGAACAGG
This 420-nucleotide ribosomal RNA is filed under the name bacterium. RNAcentral describes it as "partial 16S ribosomal RNA". It matches the Rfam family "Bacterial small subunit ribosomal RNA", at positions 355 to 776 of the family's 1533-position model. The record is from RNAcentral.